Molecule: transfer RNA, 73 nt
Filed under: Microcaldota archaeon
Lineage: Archaea; Nanobdellati; Microcaldota
Description: tRNA-Arg
Rfam family: tRNA
About the family: Transfer RNA (tRNA) molecules are approximately 80 nucleotides in length. Their secondary structure includes four short double-helical elements and three loops (D, anti-codon, and T loops).
Source: RNAcentral
GGGCCUGUAGCCUAGUGGAUAAGGCAUCAGCCUUCUAAGCUGAGGAUCGGGGGUUCGAAUCCUCCCAGGCCCG